RNAcentral lists this long non-coding RNA (780 nucleotides) under Homo sapiens (human). RNAcentral describes it as "HSALNT0039884". Lineage: Eukaryota; Metazoa; Chordata; Mammalia; Primates; Hominidae. The record is from RNAcentral.
GUUGUGAACUGCCCAUCUGAGGGAUCUAGGUUGUGUGCUUCGUAUGAGAAUCUAAUGCCUGAUGAUCUGUCACUGUCUCACUUUGCCCCCAGAUGAGACCAUCCAGUUGCAGAAAAAUAAGUUCAGAGCUUCCACGGAUUCUACAUUAUGGAUAUGUGCCGCCGAAGCAAGCACAAAGCCCUACUUUUACACAUGAUUAGUGAUGCGUCAUGGACAAGGCUUGGCUCUGUGAAGUCCAACUAACCUACUUGAGAUUCUGAGAAUUCUCUUCAAUGGCUUCCUGUGAGCUAGAGUUUGAAAAUAUCUUAAAAUCUUGAGCUAGAGAUGGAAGUAGCUCCGACAAUUUUCAUUAUCAUGUAAAUCAGAUCACUCAAGGGGCCAACCACAGCUGGGAGCCACUGCUCAGGGCAAGGUUCAUAUGGGACUUUCUACUGGGUUCUAUACAGGAUAUAAAGGUGCCUCACAGUACAGAUCUGGUAGCAAAGAGGAAACAAACACUGACCUCUUUCUGCCACAUUAUUUGAACCCCUCUCACCCUUUAGAACAAGCCCACCUAACAUCUGCCAGAGAAAAGACCAACAACAGCCUCAAAGGAUCUCUUACCAUGAAGGUCUCAGCUAAUUCCUGGCUAAGAUGUGGGUUCCACAUUAGGUUCUGAAUAUGUGGGGAAGGGUCAAUUUGGUCACUUUGUGUGCGGAUAAAGUCAAGAUGCCCAGCGGCCAGAGCAGGGGGCUGGUGCUCUGGGAACAAUGGCUGAGCAUAUAAGCAUAGGUAUGGGAA